Molecule: long non-coding RNA, 525 nt
Organism: Uranotaenia lowii
Lineage: Eukaryota; Metazoa; Arthropoda; Insecta; Diptera; Culicidae
Exons: 3
Source: RefSeq, a predicted model, not a curated record
UAUUCCAUCAAGUAGCCAAUGUUAGUCCAAAUUGACAUUUGUUUUGUUAUACACAUCGAAAAGUUGGAGAAGGAUUGCGAGACUCAGGAGGAUUUGUUUUUCUGUGCUGGUCAGUAUUGCCCAGAGACGCCGGUUAGCCUAUGGAAAUGAAGAAAGAUUUUAAAUCAUCCGGAUAUUAAGAAAAAAAAAAUCCUUCCCCGUUUACAAACAUACUGGCUAUGUCUUCUUAGGGAUACGAAAUCUCGAAUUGGUCAAAAUAUCAAGUUAACGAUACCUGGAAGAUAGGAAUUUAGCUGUAAAAUUCUAACUACCGUAAGGAAGUAUUCUCACCAAUCUUUCAUCGCAAAGUCCGUGAUAAAUAAUUGUAGUGAAUCGAGUGAAAUGAAUCUAUUGGAUUACGAAGAAUCCAUCGUAAUAAGAGCCGCUGGAUUCUUUCAGCAUGAAAAAAGGACUAGUGACUCCACGUAAGAUCUAUGUAUACAUUCCGUAUCCGGAUAUCCCACAAAGGAAAGAUCUCACUUAGAA